GCAAGGUGUGUUGGUGCACACCUAUAGUCCCAGCUACCCAGGAAGCUGAGACAGGAAGAUUGCUUGAGCUGGGAGUUAGAGACCAGCAACAUAGCAAGACUCCAGCUCAA
RNAcentral lists this small RNA (110 nucleotides) under Marmota monax (woodchuck). Lineage: Eukaryota; Metazoa; Chordata; Mammalia; Rodentia; Sciuridae. The record is from RNAcentral.